UGCUCCCUUAGCUCAGCUGGAUAGAGCAACUGCCUUCUAAGCAGUCGGUCGAUGGUUCGAAUCCAUCAGGGGGCGUC
This 77-nucleotide transfer RNA is filed under the name Synechococcus sp. RNAcentral's name for it is "tRNA-Arg". It matches the Rfam family "tRNA". From Rfam's summary of the family: Transfer RNA (tRNA) molecules are approximately 80 nucleotides in length. Their secondary structure includes four short double-helical elements and three loops (D, anti-codon, and T loops). Lineage: Bacteria; Bacillati; Cyanobacteriota; Cyanophyceae; Synechococcales; Synechococcaceae. RNAcentral also lists the same sequence under 7 other names. The record is from RNAcentral.